Molecule: ribosomal RNA, 280 nt
Filed under: Agathobaculum desmolans
Lineage: Bacteria; Bacillati; Bacillota; Clostridia; Eubacteriales; Butyricicoccaceae
Description: partial 16S ribosomal RNA
Rfam family: Bacterial small subunit ribosomal RNA
Source: RNAcentral
UACGUAGGGAGCAAGCGUUAUCCGGAUUUACUGGGUGUAAAGGGCGCGCAGGCGGGCCGGCAAGUUGGAAGUGAAAUCUAUGGGCUUAACCCAUAAACUGCUUUCAAAACUGCUGGUCUUGAGUGAUGGAGAGGCAGGCGGAAUUCCGUGUGUAGCGGUGAAAUGCGUAGAUAUACGGAGGAACACCAGUGGCGAAGGCGGCCUGCUGGACAUUAACUGACGCUGAGGCGCGAAAGCGUGGGGAGCAAACAGGAUUAGAUACCCCUGUAGUUGACUGACU